This 454-nucleotide ribosomal RNA is filed under the name uncultured bacterium. RNAcentral's name for it is "bacterial SSU rRNA". It matches the Rfam family "Bacterial small subunit ribosomal RNA", at positions 35 to 507 of the family's 1533-position model. The record is from RNAcentral.
GGUGAACGGCUGGCGGCGUGCCUAACACAUGCAAGUCGAGCGGUGCAGUUGAAGCUCGGUGGAAAGCUGCAUAGCGGCGGACGGGUGAGGAAAACGUAGGAACGUGCCCCUUGGAGUUGGAUAGCCACGGGAAACUGUGGGUAAACCGACAUAGACUCGAGAGAGUAAAGGCCGAAAGGCGCCAAGGGAGCGGCCUGCGGCCCAUCAGGUAGUUGGUAGUGUAAAGGACUACCAAGCCGACGACGGGUAGCCGGUCUGAGAGGAUGGCCGGCCACAAGGGCACUGAGAGACGGGCCCUACUCCUACGGGAGGCAGCAGUGGGGGAUUUUGGACAAUGGGCGAAAGCCUGAUCCAGCGACGCCGCGUGGAGGACGAAGCCCUUCGGGGUGUAAACUCCUUUUCUCAGGGAAAAAGGAUGAUGGUACCUGAGGAAUAAGCCCCGGCUAACUACGUG